Long non-coding RNA from Hibiscus syriacus, 242 nucleotides. RefSeq lists it as uncharacterized. The record is from RefSeq and is a predicted model, not a curated record. NCBI's taxonomy places the organism in Eukaryota, Viridiplantae, Streptophyta, Magnoliopsida, Malvales, Malvaceae. The transcript has 2 exons.
CGGUCAUUGCCAACGUGCUACCGAGCUGACCGGUGGCUGAGAGCGAUAACCGACCGUCAGCCGAUACCGUCAUUUUUCUACCGGAAAAAUUGGAAAUGAAAGCUAGUGAAGAAUAGUAGGAUGGGUUGCUUUCAUGGGGUGCAUGAUAUUUGGAAGGUUGGGCCAUCGUUAUCCAGAUUGAAUUGCAUCCACCAAUUUGUGAUGUUUGUUUGUAUGGAUUGCAGUCCUCUAGAGUAGAUAUC